Molecule: ribosomal RNA, 229 nt
Filed under: uncultured bacterium
Lineage: Bacteria
Description: partial 16S ribosomal RNA
Rfam family: Bacterial small subunit ribosomal RNA
Source: RNAcentral
UACGUAGGCGGCUCUAUAAGUCAGUAGUGAAAUCUCGAAGCUCAACUUCGAACGUGCUAUUGAAACUGUAGAGCUUGAGUACAGACGAGGCAGGCGGAAUGUGUUGUGUAGCGGUGAAAUGCUUAGAUAUAACACAGAACACCGAUAGCGAAGGCAGCUUGCCAGACUGUAACUGACGCUGAGGCACGAAAGCGUGGGGAGCGAACAGGAUUAGAUACCCUGGUAGUCC